Long non-coding RNA from Macadamia integrifolia, 1332 nucleotides. RefSeq lists it as uncharacterized. The record is from RefSeq and is a predicted model, not a curated record. Lineage: Eukaryota; Viridiplantae; Streptophyta; Magnoliopsida; Proteales; Proteaceae. The transcript has 4 exons.
CUUGUCCCCCUCCUCGGCCCUACCAAUUAAUAUCCUUUCCUUUUUUCUUUAUAGGCUUCGAUAAAUGGAGAGGGAAGAGCUCAGAUCUUCCUCUGGGGUUUUGGUUUCAUCCUACCUGAGAAAGAGUUGCCUGGCCAUACUUGCAUCUACAAGGCAAUCCAUAGUGGAUCUCUGAGGGUUGGUGUGAAGAAAGCUCUUGUGUUCUACAACGGUCGUCCACCAAAAGUUGUCUAGAUUGAUUGGAUCAUGCAUGAAUACCCGGUUGGGUGAUUCAAGCCGGCGGCCUAACAAGCUGGUUUGGUCCAUGAGGAGAGACAGUCCUUGGAUCCAAAACAAAGAGAAGGAUAUGGAAAAUGAUACCUUGCCGGAGCUCGAAACAUUGAUCAUACUUUUCUCAUACAGAGGCAUGAAAGGAGAAGUGAAGAAGCUGCAUUUAAUUGAGGAUCUGACCUGAGAAAGAGGAAUCAUCAACAAAUAAGCUUGGUUAAGACAACUUCCUUCCACAGUUCUUUUUCUUUUUCGCUGAAACCUAAAUGGUUUCAUAGCAUUUGUAAGUAUACCUAUUUUGUUCAAAGAGAAAGCUCCAUUUAUUGUACCAAGACUUGGAAAUUUUCACUUUGUUCGAAUUAAAAUAUAUCGCAGUCUAAGAAGCUUGUCUCAUGUUGGGAUUCUAAUGGAGGACCUAAUCCAUGUAGCACCUUCAAAGUGCUAUCCAUGCAAGGAUAGCAUUUUGAUUUUUGAAGCUUCACCAAAACAACAAUGGAACAAAAUGUAGUGGGAGAUUGAUUAAGCACUCCACAGGAAAAAAUAAUUCUUAUGGAGUAAGAAUUUACUCCUUGACAGAAACCCUAAUGUUAGUUUAUGUCUGAGGUUUCACCUGGAUGACUAGUGAGAUCUCCUAUCAGAAAAGUUUCCAGUACUCUUUAAUCUGCAAGUAUGGCAUUGAUAUCCAACUAAUGACCUAUUGAUGAAUGUUUUACUUUGAAGAAAUUCUUCUGGACUAGGUGAUUCAAUGUAUUGGGAACUGAAUCAUCAGUUGAAAUAUCAGAAACUACAUUAGGGUACAAUUGAAGCACCCUAGAUGAGAAGCAUCAAUAUUACUAAGGAUAAGCCAUUAAAGAUGAGUAAUUUGGCCUUGAAGUUUGGAUUACUCUAUUGGAUAGAGAGUCCAAGUGAGAAGGAACAUAGUGGAGGGUUUGGAUUGUCUUAAUGUAUUCAAGGAAGAAGGUGCAAAGCAGAGGGAUUAUUGCCUUGAAUUUGUUUUAUUUAAAGGUCGGUUAUUGGUCUUUGUAGUAGGGCUUUUUGAAUCUUAAUUAAUUGGACUGUUCUUUA